Molecule: ribosomal RNA, 253 nt
Filed under: uncultured bacterium
Lineage: Bacteria
Description: partial 16S ribosomal RNA
Rfam family: Bacterial small subunit ribosomal RNA
Source: RNAcentral
UACGUAGGGUGCAAGCGUUGUCCGGAAUUAUUGGGCGUAAAGAGCUCGUAGGCGGUUUGUCGCGUCUGCUGUGAAAACCCGAGGCUCAACCUCGGGCCUGCAGCCGAUACGGGCAAGCUAGAGUUCGGUAGGGGAGACUGGAAUUCCUGGUGUAGCGGUGAAAUGCGCAGAUAUCAGGAGGAACACCGGUGGCGAAGGCAGGUCUCCUGGGCUGACACUGACGCUCAUGCACGAAGCGUGGGGAGCAAACAGG